CCUACGGGAGGCAGCAGUGAGGAAUAUUGGUCAAUGGGCGCGAGCCUGAACCAGCCAAGUAGCGUGAAGGAUGACUGCCCUAUGGUUUGUAAACUUCUUUUAUAUGGGAAUAAAGUGAGGAACGUGAUCAUUUUUGUAUGUACCAUAUGAAUAAGCAUCGGCUAACCCCGCGCCAGCAGCCGCGGUAAUACGGAGGAUGCGAGCGUUAUCCGGAUUUAUUGGGUUUAAAGGGUGCGUAGGUGGUUAAUUAAGUCAGCGGUGAAAGUUUGUGGCUCAACCAUAAAAUUGCCGUUGAAACUGGUUGACUUGAGUAUAUUUGAGGUAAGCGGAAUGCGUGGUGUAGCAGUGAAAUGCAUAGAUAUCACGCAGAACUCCGAUUGCGAAGGCAGCUUACUAACCUAUAACUGACACUGAAGCACGAAAGCGUGGGUAUCAAACAGGAUUAGAUACCCUGGUAGUC
RNAcentral lists this ribosomal RNA (460 nucleotides) under uncultured bacterium. RNAcentral describes it as "partial 16S ribosomal RNA". It matches the Rfam family "Bacterial small subunit ribosomal RNA", at positions 338 to 795 of the family's 1533-position model. The record is from RNAcentral.